UACGUAGGGGGCAAGCGUUGUCCGGAAUUAUUGGGCGUAAAGGGUUCGCAGGCGGUCUGAUAAGUCAGAUGUGAAAGGCAAUGGCUCAACCAUUGUAAGCAUUUGAAACUGUCAGACUUGAGUUAAGGAGAGGAAAGUGGAAUUCCUAGUGUAGCGGUGAAAUGCGUAGAUAUUAGGAGGAAUACCAGUGGCGAAGGCGACUUUCUGGACUUAUACUGACGCUGAGGAACGAAAGCGUGGGGAGCAAACAGG
Molecule: ribosomal RNA, 252 nt
Filed under: uncultured bacterium
Lineage: Bacteria
Description: partial 16S ribosomal RNA
Rfam family: Bacterial small subunit ribosomal RNA
Source: RNAcentral